AUGGAAAGAAGCAGAAUUGCAAAACCAGUCCAGCAUCACAAUUACGCACAAACAAAUCACAAGUCAAAAUUCAAGUUCAUCCCAACAACAACAAAGCAAUGUAUCAGUAAAUACAAAGCAGCAAACAUAAAUCAUGUCAACAUAACAAAAUUUGAAGUAACAUAUCUGAAAAUGCUUAAGCCCAAUACAAAUUCGUUCCAGGCCUGUUAUCAAAGUUCGGAGCAACACAACAGCAAAACCCUAAUACUAUCUCACUAUAAAAGCAAUCAUUGCACAAAAAUCAAAGAGGAGGCCACUAUUCACACAAAAACCCUAAACGGCUGCAAGAAGCUUUCAAGGAUAAAACCCUAA
Molecule: non-coding RNA, 351 nt
Organism: Vicia faba (fava bean)
Lineage: Eukaryota; Viridiplantae; Streptophyta; Magnoliopsida; Fabales; Fabaceae
Source: the annotation of a GenBank genome assembly